This is a small nucleolar RNA of Malania oleifera, 106 nucleotides long. Lineage: Eukaryota; Viridiplantae; Streptophyta; Magnoliopsida; Santalales; Ximeniaceae. The record is from RefSeq and is a predicted model, not a curated record.
AUUUGAUGAUGUGGACAUUUAUGGAUUAGGUCCCUGAAACACUCCUAGGUCUCAAAGAAAAGUUCCCCAUUUGUCUGUGUGAAACAUGUGAUUGUCCUUUGCAGCU